Molecule: ribosomal RNA, 253 nt
Filed under: uncultured bacterium
Lineage: Bacteria
Description: partial 16S ribosomal RNA
Rfam family: Bacterial small subunit ribosomal RNA
Source: RNAcentral
UACGGAGGGUGCAAACGUUGCUCGGAAUCAUUGGGCGUAAAGCGCACGUAGGCGGUCCGCUAAGUCGGAUGUGAAAGCCCUCGGCUUAACCGAGGAAGUGCAUUCGAAACUGACGGUCUUGAGUAUGGAAGAGGGUCGCGGAAUUCCCGGUGUAGAGGUGAAAUUCGUAGAUAUCGGGAGGAACACCAGUGGCGAAGGCGGUGCCCUGGGCCAAUACUGACGCUGAGGUGCGAAAGCGUGGGGAGCAAACAGG